AAACCGUUCGGGGGUAAACGGACAGAGCCCGUGAAUCCGGGCGCGCGGAAUUCAGGACCGAUCGGCGGACGUUCGCGUCUCGUCGGUCGACUCGAUAUUUCCGUCGCCGACCCUCAACCGAGGGUGUCGGACGUCGCGACCCGUUCGCCAUUUUGUCGAUGCUCAGGGACGCGUCGCCAGUUCGCCAGCGCCGUCGCCUCGGCGGCGGCGCGACGAUGGCGCGUUUCCGUUGUUUUCGACGCGGACGGUAGCUUUGCGCGCGGGUAUUCGACGCGGCCCACUCGUUCGGCGUCACUUCGGUGGCGUCGGGCGGGCGCUCGCGUCGACGCCGGUCAGCGACGAAUCUUCGGGCCUCUUUCCGA
Molecule: ribosomal RNA, 362 nt
Filed under: Ceroplastes rusci
Lineage: Eukaryota; Metazoa; Arthropoda; Insecta; Hemiptera; Coccidae
Description: partial 28S ribosomal RNA
Source: RNAcentral